Molecule: RNA transcript, 709 nt
Organism: Harpegnathos saltator (Jerdon's jumping ant)
Lineage: Eukaryota; Metazoa; Arthropoda; Insecta; Hymenoptera; Formicidae
Gene: Muted
Gene name: biogenesis of lysosome-related organelles complex 1 subunit 5
Exons: 4
Source: RefSeq, a predicted model, not a curated record
CGAUCACUGUAUGAUUAUUAAUAAGGCGUAUGUGUGUCCAGUAGAUGGACGCAUUUAUCGUAUAAUAAGUAUUACGGCAAUACAUUGUAUUAUACGUCAUCACGUUUCCGCAGACACGGGCGAAAUCUGGAGCCGAUUAUUCGAUCAUCGUCCGUUCGUCCAAGGAGAAAUUACAUUCUUCUUGCGAGAAUUUCAGGAAAAGAGAGCUGACAGGGAAGUAGAACGUCUUUUUAAGAUACUUGAAUAUGCAACGGAAUUGAAAGAAAGUCAACUAGAUCGUACCGAGCAAUUGGGAGAUUGUCAUUUACCUAGUCUCAAAGCAAAUGUGGAUGUUGCAUUGAGCAUGUGUAACCGUGUCUUACAGAGAGAAGAAAAUUUUGAUAGUGAUAGCAUUUUAAAUGAAAACAGACUAAUUAGAAGAAAGGAGUGGGAAAAAUUUGUGAAUGAUAUGAGUGAUAAGUGUCAAAAAGUGGAUCAAACCUUCCAAGAGAAAGAAAACGAAAUACAGGAGUUCUAUGUAGAUUUGGAGAAAAAAUUGCAUAUUACAGCAUAGGAUAAUACAUUCGCAAAUUUGCUUCUCUACAUACAUCUUGUCCUAGCAUUGAUCCAACUUAUGACAUUUUUCAGAAAAGUAUCACACCACGGAAUCCAGAGUUGGAAGCUAGAAUAAAGAAGUUAAAGGCACAACAAGAUGCUAGAGAAUAUCGAG